AUUGAACGCUGGCGGAAUGCUUUACACAUGCAAGUCGAACGGCAGCACGGACUUCGGUCUGGUGGCGAGUGGCGAACGGGUGAGUAAUGUAUCGGAACGUGCCCAGUCGUGGGGGAUAACGUAGUGAAAAUUACGCUAAUGCCGCAUACGAUCUAUGGAUGAAAGCGGGGGAUCGCAAGACCUCGCGCGAUUGGAGCGGCCGAUAUCAGAUUAGGUAGUUGGUGGGGUAAAGGCCCACCAAGCCAACGAUCUGUAGCUGGUCUGGGAGGACGACCAGCCACACUGGAACUGAGACACGGUCCAGACUCCUACGGGGGGCAGCAGUGGGGAACUUUGGACAAUGGGCGAAAGCCUGAUCCAGCCAUUCCGCGUGCAGGAUGAAGGCCCUCGGGUUGUAAACUGCUUUUGUACAGAACGAAAAGGUUUCUACUAAUACUAGGAGCUCAUGACGGUACUGUAAGAAUAAGCACCGGCUAACUACGUGCCAGCAGCCGCCGUAA
This 500-nucleotide ribosomal RNA is filed under the name uncultured bacterium. Its description in RNAcentral is "partial 16S ribosomal RNA". It matches the Rfam family "Bacterial small subunit ribosomal RNA", at positions 30 to 523 of the family's 1533-position model. The record is from RNAcentral.